Molecule: ribosomal RNA, 479 nt
Filed under: uncultured bacterium
Lineage: Bacteria
Description: partial 16S ribosomal RNA
Rfam family: Bacterial small subunit ribosomal RNA
Source: RNAcentral
GAUGAACGCUAGCGGGAGGCCUAACACAUGCAAGCCGGGCGGUAUUGUUUCUUCGGAAAUGCGAGAGCGGCGUACGGGUGCGUAACACGUGUGCAACCUGCCUUUAUCUGGGGGAUAGCCUUUCGAAAGGAAGAUUAAUACUCCAUAAUAUAUUGAACGGCAUCGUUUAAUAUUGAAAGCUCCGGCGGAUAGAGAUGGGCACGCGCAAGAUUAGCUAGUUGGUGAGGUAACGGCUCACCAAGGCGAUGAUCUUUAGGGGGCCUGAGAGGGUGAUCCCCCACACUGGUACUGAGACACGGACCAGACUCCUACGGGAGGCAGCAGUGAGGAAUAUUGGUCAAUGGGUGCAAGCCUGAACCAGCCAUCCCGCGUGAAGGACGACUGCCCUAUGGGUUGUAAACUUCUUUUGUAUAGGGAUAAACCUACCCUCGUGAGGGUAGCUGAAGGUACUAUACGAAUAAGCACCGGCUAACUCCGUG